GAUGAACGCUGGCGGCGUGCCUAAUACAUGCAAGUCGAGCGAACAGACGAGGAGCUUGCUCCUCUGACGUUAGCGGCGGACGGGUGAGUCACACGUGGAUAACCUCCCUAUAAGACUGGGAUAACUUCGGGAAACCGGCGCUAAUACCGGAUAAUAUAUUGAACCGCAUGGUUCAAUAGUGAAAGACGGUUUUGCUGUCACUUAUAGAUGGAUCCGCGCCGCAUUAGCUAGUUGUUAAGGUAACGGCUUACCAAGGCGACGAUGCGUAGCCGACCUGAGAGGGUGAUCGGCCACACUGGAACUGAGACACGGUCCAGACUCCUACGGGAGGCAGCAGUAGAGAAUCCUACGCAAUGGGCGAAAGCCUGACGGAGCAACGCCGCGUGAGUGAUGAAGGUCUUAGGAUCGUAAAACUCUGUUAUUAGGGAAGAACAAAUGUGUAAGUAACUAUGCACGUCUUGACGGUACCUAAUCAGAAAGCCACGGCUAACUACGUG
Molecule: ribosomal RNA, 497 nt
Filed under: uncultured bacterium
Lineage: Bacteria
Description: partial 16S ribosomal RNA
Rfam family: Bacterial small subunit ribosomal RNA
Source: RNAcentral